AUAUAUAUCCUCUGAAAUCAGCUGGUGCAUUAUAGUCAUAGAUUUUGAUUGCAUUACAACCAUGAAUUUUUCCCUGAGCUUCCUCAUCAAAUUUUCUGCAACUAUAAUGGAACUACAAAUGGGAAUGUGCAAAUAUAGCAGAUACCAUUCAGUUUAGCAUCAACCAAUUCAAUUCUAUUUUAGACAUCAUUUCUGCUCUGGUGUAAACAGAAAAUUCCAUGCAAGCUAGGCUCAGAAACAUUACAGUAGGAUAUGGUGUAGAAAAAGAGAAAAGGAACGCAUUAGUUAGCAGCAAACUAGCAUUUAUGAACAAUAUCAGUAGAAUUAUCUGUUCAUUCUAUUAAAAUUCAAUCAUCUAGCUCGUCCUCAUCUUCAUCAUCAAUGAAUUCUUCCUCUUCUUCAUCGCUUUCUCCUCCUUGUUCCUCGUCAACAUCAUCAUCAUUCACAAUAAAGCCUCCAAGUGUAGCAUCAGCAUCAUCAUCAUCGUCAUCGUCAUCAUUCACAGUGUUCUUCUGCAAAGAAUCUUUCUUUCUGUCUCUAUCUUUAUGGGGUUUAUCUUUUUCCUUCGAUCUUGUUGAAUGUUUUGAUCUCUCAAUCUUUCUUAUUUUCGCUACAGUCUCCUUAUCUUCUUCACUCUCACCGCUCCAAUCAUCAUCAUCCUUGUCAUUACCUCCACCUUUCUUCCUCUUUCUCCUCUCAUUUCCUUUCCUCUUCAUUCUAUUACUCUCAAAACUCCCACCGUCCUCGCUAUCUUCCUCAGGUUCCUCGAGGAACCAAUACCAAUUCUUCACAUCGCGGAAUCUUUGCUUGGGAUAGCAGUCGAACUCGUGCCCAAUUACCAGAAAUCCAAACUCUGCAGCUCCAACAUACAAAUGAAAGAAAUAUAUUAGAACGAUUACUGGUUAAGAUUAUUUGAAAGGAAGUAGCACAAAGGCCAAACCUUUAACAGGAUCAAUUUGUGAAAGAUCAACACUUUCUGAAUUCUCACCCAGUCUCUCGCUACCAUUCACGCUCCCAAAAUCCCUUUCUUUUCCAAUUCCGAUUCUCUUCAGGUUGAACCAAACAGGACUUUGACUUGAAAUGCAAAACCAGUCACCGGCUGCCAUUUCACCCCUCUCGAGCUUCCUGAAAACCUUGAUCUCUUUUCCACCGCCGCCGCUUCGCACCCAGAGUGGGUUCCUGCCAAUAACUUGAAAUGAAACCCUAGGCUCUGUAUGGUUUUCAGUUUUGUCGAGGUGAAAUAAGAUGUGACGGCGAGAGACGGUUCUGUCUUUGGUGUUAGACCCUGAGCCUCUUCCAAACACAGUCUCGGAACUGUCGUCUUUCAAUUCAAUCGUCGAGCCAUCAUCGCCUUCUAGCUCCAUUUGGCUUCUCUGAGUAUUGACAGAGGAAGUGGGAAGAGGAAGAUGUAAAA
This 1414-nucleotide unclassified non-coding RNA is filed under the name Hevea brasiliensis (rubber tree). The record is from RNAcentral. Lineage: Eukaryota; Viridiplantae; Streptophyta; Magnoliopsida; Malpighiales; Euphorbiaceae.